This 618-nucleotide ribosomal RNA is filed under the name uncultured bacterium. Its description in RNAcentral is "bacterial SSU rRNA". It matches the Rfam family "Bacterial small subunit ribosomal RNA", at positions 338 to 951 of the family's 1533-position model. The record is from RNAcentral.
CCUACGGGAGGCAGCAGUGGGGAAUUUUGGACAAUGGGCGCAAGCCUGAUCCAGCAAUGCCGCGUGAGUGAAGAAGGCCUUCGGGUUGUAAAGCUCUUUUGUCAGGGAAGAAACGGUGGAGGUUAAUACCUUCUGCUAAUGACGGUACCUGAAGAAUAAGCACCGGCUAACUACGUGCCAGCAGCCGCGGUAAUACGUAGGGUGCAAGCGUUAAUCGGAAUUACUGGGCGUAAAGCGUGCGCAGGCGGUUGUGCAAGACAGAUGUGAAAUCCCCGGGCUCAACCUGGGAAUUGCAUUUGUGACUGUACGGCUAGAGUGUGUCAGAGGGGGGUAGAAUUCCACGUGUAGCAGUGAAAUGCGUAGAGAUGUGGAGGAAUACCGAUGGCGAAGGCAGCCCCCUGGGAUAACACUGACGCUCAUGCACGAAAGCGUGGGGAGCAAACAGGAUUAGAUACCCUGGUAGUCCACGCCCUAAACGAUGUCUACUAGUUGUCGGGUCUUUAUUGACUUGGUAACGCAGCUAACGCGUGAAGUAGACCGCCUGGGGAGUACGGUCGCAAGAUUAAAACUCAAAGGAAUUGACGGCUGAGAGAGCGACGACGACGACGAGGGAGGAGG